UAGAUGGAGUCUCGCUCUGUCACCCAGGCUGGAGUGCAGUGCAGUGGUGCGAACUCGGCUCAUUGCUGGAUCUUACGAUCAAUUGAGGAUUUUAUUUUACAAAUUCAUUUGUCCUGGUACUCAUAAACAAGUAUAAUUUAGGUUAAGAUUAAAAAUGUAAGCCAAAGAGGGCAGAGUACGAUGGCAGAAGAGAAGCCUACACUGUUCAUCCCCACUCCCCCACCGCACUGGAACACCAAAUUUUAACAACCAUUUGCACACAGAAAAGCACCAUCACACCGUCACAACAAACAAAAAUCAGGUGAGCAAUCAUACUUUCUAGUUUUAACUUCAUAUAGCUAAAGGAGGCGUGGGGGAGGACAAGAGAGAUAGUCUUGAAUCACUGAUGCCACCCAUCCCUCAUGUCUAGGCAACAGCUGAGUAGUAAGGAGAAAGAAUCUGUGCACUUUGGGGAGAGUGCAGUGACACUCUCUGUGGGACAAUACAUUGAACUCAGUGCUGCCCUGUCACAGCAGAGAAUGAACUCUUGCUGGGCUCAGCCAGUGGCUGUGCAUGUAGGGAGCAUUUGGACUCACCUUAGUCAAAGGGGAUUCACCCAUCCCAGUGAUCAGAAUUUGAGUUUCUCAACAAGCCUUUCCACUGUGGGCUAAAAUUCUCUGGCGUACUAGGUAAACUUGAAAGACAGCCUACAACACAAGAACUCCAAUUCCUGGGCAACUCCUAGUGUUAGGUUUGGCUUAGAGCCAGCAGGCUAGGGUGGCAUGUGACCUAUGGAAACACCAGUUGGUGCUGCUAAGAGAGUACUUGUUCCAUUUCUCCCCGAAACCCAGGUAGUGCAGGUCACAGCAACAAAAGUGGCUCCUUUUUAUCUGUGUAAGUAGAGGAGCACAGUGUAACAGGACUUUGUCUUGCAUCUUGGAUACCAGCUCAGCCACAGCAGGACAGGGCACUGACCAGGAUUGUGAGGCCCCCAUUUUAGGCCCUAGCUCUCAGAUGACAUUUAUGAACACACCAUGGGUCAAAAAGGAAGGGAAGGAUACAGUUUUUGCAGGGUUGAUCACCUACUGGCUAAAGAGCCCUUGGGCCCUGGGUUACCAUCAACAAUACCCAGGUAGUAUGCCAUGGGCCUAGGGCACUAAGACAUGCUGAUUUCUGGUGUGACCUAGCACAUUCCCAGCUGUGGUGACUAUGUUGAAAGACUCCUGUUUGAAAAAAGCAGAGGGAAAAAUAAAGGGAACUUUGUCUUGCAGCUUAGGUACCAGCUUGUCCAGAGUGGGGUAGAGCAACAAACAGGCUUUUAGGGUCCCCAAGUCCAGGCUUAGGCUCUUGGACAGCAUUUAUGAACCUGCCUUGGACCAAAGGGGAGCCCACUGUUCUGAAGGGUGAGUCCCCGGACUGACAACGUUUACCAAAAGCUGGCUGAAGAGCACUUGGGCUUUAGGGGAAUAUCAGUGGUGGCCUGGCAGAACUCCCUAUGGAUCAGUGGUGGUGGUGGAUACAGGGAGAGGCUUCUCUGCCUGUAGAAAGGGGAGAGAAGAGUAGGAAUGACUUUAUAUUGUAGUUUGAGUGCCAAAUCAGCCACAGUACACCAGAACACCCAGUAAACUGCUAAGGUAUUUGACCUAAAUACCUGGCUCCAAGGCAGCAUGUCUGGACAUGCCUCGGUCCUGGUAGAAAUCACUGCCCUGAAAGGAAACGCUUUGGGAAACACCUGGUACUGUGCUGGCUUCAGGUAUGACUCAGCACCAUCCCAGUGGUGUUGAUCACUGGGGAGCUUGCAUCACCACACCCCCACUUCUAGGUGUCUCAGCACAGAGAGAGAGAGACUUCAUUUGUUUGGGAAAAAGUAAGGGAAAAGAAUAACAGUCUUUGCUUAUAUUGCAGAGAAUGUUUCUGGAUCUUAUCCAAUAACACCAAGGUGAUACCUCUACAGGUCUGCAAAAACUACAGCAUUAUUGAGCUUGGGGCCCAAGUCCCUUCAAAUACCUGGAAAGCCUUCCCAAGAAGGACGGGAACAAAAAAGGCCAGACAUUGAAGACUACAAAAAAUAUCUAACUCUUUAAAGCCCAGACACAGACUAACAGCUACAAGCAUCAACAUUUUCUAGGAAAACACGACCUCACCAAAUAAACUAAAUAAGACACCAGGAACCAAUCCUGGAGAAACAGAGAUAUAUGAUCUUUCAGAUAGAGAAUUAAAAAUAGCUGUUUUGAGGAAACUCGAAGAAAUUCAAAAUUCUAUCAGCUAAAUUUAACAAAAAGAUGGAAAUAAGAAUCAAGAAGAAAUUCUAGAGUUGAAAACUGCUACUGACAUGCUGAAGAAAGUAUCAAAGUCUCUCAAUAGCAGAAUUGAUCAAGCAGAAGAAAGAAUUAGUGAGCUUGAAGACAGGCACAGUUAGAGGAGACAAUAAAAAUAAAAAUAAUAAAGCAUGCCUACAGGAUCUAAAAACUAGCCUUAAAGGGGUGAAUCUAAGAGCUAUUGGCCUUAAAGAAGAGGUAGAGAAAGAGAUGGAGGUAGAAAGUCUAGUCAAAGGUGUAAUAUCAGAGGAUUUCCCAAGUCUAGAGAAAGAUAUCAACAUUCAAGUACAAGAAUGUUAUGGAUUUAUCCCCCAAUAAAGCCUACCCCAAGGCAUUUAAUUAUCAAACUCCCAAAGGUUAAGGAUAAAGAAAGUACCCUAAAAGCAGCAGGAAAAAAGAAAUAAAUAAUACACAAUGGAGCUCCAAUAGAUCUGAAAGCAGACUUUCAUUUGGAAACAUUACAGGCCAGGAGAAAGUGGCAUGACAUAUUUAAAGUACUGAAGGAAUAACUGUAACCCUAGAGUAGUAUAUCUGGUGAAAAUACCCUUCAAGCAUGAAGGAAAAAUAAAGACCUUUCCAGACAGACAAAAGAGAUUUCAUUGACACCAGACCUAUGCUACAAGAAAUGUUAAAUGGAGUUCUUCAAUCUGAAAGACAAGGAUGUUAGUUAGCAAAAAGAAAUAAUCUGAAAAUAGAAAACUCACCGGGAAUAGUAAGCACACAGAAAAACACAGAAUAGUAUAACACUGUAAUACUGGUUUGUAAACUAUUCUUGUCUUAAGUAGAAAGACUAAAUGACAAACCAAUAAAAAUACUCACUACAACAACUUUUCAAGACAUAGGACAAUAAGACAUAAAUGGAAAAAACAAAAAGUUAAAAAGUGGAGGGAUAAAGUCAAAGUGUAGAGUUUUUAUUAGUUGUGUGUGUGUGUGUGUGUGUGUGUUUCUGUGUUUGUGUGUGUGUUUGCUUGUUUAUGCAAUCAGGGUUAAGUUGCCUUCAGUUUAAAAUAAUGGGUUAUAAGGUAUUAUUUACAAGCCUCAUGGUAACUUCCAAUUAAAAAAUUACAGCAAACACAAAAAGUAAAAAGCAAAAAACUAAAGUGCACCACCAAAGAAAAUCAACUGUAUUUAAAAGACAGAAACAAAGGAGAGAAAGAAGACUGAAAAACAACCAGAAAACAAAUAACAAAAGGGCAGCAGCAAGACCUUACUUAUCAGUAAUAACAUGAAAUGUAAAUGGACUAAAUUUUCCAAUUAAAAAAACACAGAAUGGCUGAAUCAACAAAAAACAAGACCCAGUGAUCUAUUGCCUACAUGAAACAUAGCUAACCUAUAAAAGUACACAUAGACUGAAAAUAAAGGGAUGGAAAAAGAUAUCCCAUGCCAAAGGAAACCAAAAAAGAGUAGGCAUAGCUAUAUUUAUAACAAAAAAAAUUUCAAGACAAAACUUGUGAGAAGAAAUGAGAAAAGUCAUUAUACACUGAUAAGAGUCAAUGCAGCAAGAAGAUAAAAUAAUUGUAAAUAUAUGUACACCCAAUACACGAGCACCCAGAUAUGUAAAGAAAAUAUGAUUAGAACCAAAGAGACAGAGGCCCCAAUAUAAUAAAGCCUGGAGACUUCAACAACCCACUUUCAGCACUUGACUAAUCUUCCAGACAGAAAAUCAGCAAAGAAACAUCAAACUUAAUUUGCACUUUAAAAAAUAAUGGACCUCAUAGAUAUUUACAGAACAUUUCAUCAAACAGUUGCAGAAUACACAUUCCUCUACUCAGCAUAUGGAUCAUUCUCAAAGACAAACCUUAUGUUAUGUCACCAAGCAAGUCUUAAAACAAUAAAAAAUUGAAAUAAUAUUAAGCAUCUUCUCUGACCACAAUAGAACAUAACUAGAAAUCAAUAAUAAAAUGAAUUUUGGAAAUGAUACAAGUGCAUAGAAAAUAAGCAAUAUGAUCCUGAAUAACCAGUGGGUCAAUAAUAAAAUUAAGAAAUAAAUUGAAAAAUUUCUUGAAACAAAAGAAAAUGAAAACACAACAUAGCAAAACCUGUAAGAUACAGCAAAAACAGUAGUUAGAGGCAAGUUUAUAGCUGAGUGCCUACAUCAACAAAGAAUAAAAACAUCAAAUAAAGAACUUUAAUGGUGCAUCCUGAAAAAAUAAGAAAAGCAAGAGAAAACUUAACUCAAAAUUAGAAGGAAAGAAAUAAUAACGAGCAGAGCAGAGAUAAAUAAAUUUGACAUGAAUAAAAUAAUACAAAAUAACAAAACAAAAAGUUGUUUUUUCGAAAAGAUAAACAAAAUUGACAAACCUUUAGGCACAUUAACUAAUAAAAAAGAGAGAAGAUUCAAAUAAAUAAAAUCAGAUUUGGAAAAAAAAAGACAUUUGAGGUGGUCAGAUUGCUUGAGCUCAGGAGGUGGAGACCAGCUUGGGCAACAUGAUAAAACCUCAUCUCUACAAAGGUUACAAAAGUUAGCUGGGUGUGGUGGUGCAUACCUGUAGUCCUAGCUAUUCAAGAGUCUGUGGUGGGAGGAUCACUGGAACCUGAGAGAUUGAGGCUGAAAGUGAGCUGAGAUUGUGCCACACACUCCAGCCUGGGUGACAAAGUGAGACCCUGUCUAAAAUAAGAAAGAAAGAAAGAAAAAAGAAAGAAAUGAAGGAAGGAAGAAAGGAAGGAAGGAAGGAAGGAAGGAAGGAAGGAAAAGGAGACAUUACAACUAAUGCCUCAGAAAUUCAAAGGAUUGACCGGGUGCAGUGGCUCACGCCUGCAAUCCCAGCACUUUGGGAGGCCAAGGCAGGCAGAUCACGAGGUCAGGAGUUCGAGACCAGCCUGACCAACAUGGUAAAACCCCGUCUCUACUAAAAAUACAAAAAUUAGCUGGGCGUUGUGGUGCGCGCCUGUAAUCCCAGCUACUCAGGAGGCUGAGGCAGGAGAAUCACUUGAACCCAGGAGGUGGAAGUUGCAGUGAGCCGAGAUCGUGCCACUGCACUCCAGCUUGGGUUACAGAGUGAGACUCCAUCUCAAAAAAAAAAAAAAAAAAAAAGGAAUUCAAAGGAUCAUCGGAUCCUUGGUGAUUACUAUGAACGACUAUGUGCCAAUAAAUUUCAAACUCUGGAAUAAAUGAAUAAAUUGCUAGACACAUACAACCUACAAAGAUAGAACCAUGAAGAAAUCUAAAACCCAACCAGACCAACAACAAGUAAUGAGAUCACAGUUAUAAUAAAUAGUCUCCCAGCAAUGAAAAGCCCAGAACCUAAUGGCUUCACUGCUGAAAUCUAGCAAACAUUUAAAGAACUAAUGCCAAUCCAACUCAAACUAUUCUGUAAAAUAGAGGAGAAGAGAAUGCUUCCAAAUUCUUUCUAAAAAGCCAGCAUUACCCUAAUAACAAAACCAGCCAGACACAUUGAAAAAGGAAACUACAGGUCAGUAUCAAUGAUGAAUAUUGAUAUAAAAACCCUCAACAAAAUAUUAGGAGACCAAAUUCUACAAUAUAUUAAAGAGAUCAUUCAUCAUGACCAAGUGUGAUUUAUCCCAGGGAUGCAUGGAUGGCUCAACAUACACAAAUCAAUCAACGUAGUAUAUAAUGUCAACAGAAUGAUACAAAAGAAUUUUAAAAAAUAAUAAAUUAAAAACAGAAUGAAAGAUAAAAAUUAUAUGUUCAUUUCAAUUGAUGCUAAAAAAGCAUUUGAUCAAGUUCAGCAUCCCAUUAUUAUGAAAACCCUCAAAAAAACUGCAUAUAGAAGGAACAUACCUUAAUAUAAUAAGAGCCAUAUGCAACAGACCCACAGCCAUUAUCAUGCUGAAUGGGGAAAAACUGAAAGCCUUUCCUCUUAGAUCUGAAACAUUACAAGGAUGCAUGUUUCAUCAUUGUUAUUCAGCAUAGUACUGGAAGUGGUAGCUAGAGCACUCAAACAAGAAAAAAAAAAAAAAGAAAAAGAAAGGACAUCCAAAUUGGAAAGAAAGCAAUCCAAUUAUCCUUCUUUUAAGAUGAUAUGAUCUUAUAUUUGAAAAACUGUAAAGACCCCACAAGAAAACAAUCAGAACUGAAAAAACAAAUUCAAUAAAGUUGCAAGAUACAAAAUCAACACACAGGAAUCAGUGACAUUUCUAUAUGCUACUGCAAACGAUCUGAAAAAUUACAUGCUGCGGUAACUCAGUAGCAUUUCUAUAAGCUACAGUGAACAAUCUGAAAAAUAACUAAAAAAUGCAUACUUAUUUACGAUGACCACAAAUAAAAUUAAAUAAUUAGAAACCAAAAAUAGUGAAUGAUUUUUAACAGUGAAAACUAUAAAACACUGAUGAAAUAAAUUGAAAAAGCCACAGAAACUGGAGCGAUUCCAUAUACAUGGAUUAGAAUAAUCAAUAUUGUUUAAAUGUCUGUACUACUCAAAGUAAUAUACAGAUUCAGCACAAUUCCUAUGAAAACACCAGUAACAUUCUUCACAGAAAUGGGAGGAAAAAAUAAUAAAAUUUAUAUGCAAUUACAAAAGACCCAGAAUAGCCAAAGACAUACUGAGCAAAAGGAACAAAACAGGAGGAAUUAUAUUAGCUGACUUCACUACAGAGCUAUAGUAACUAAAAUGUCAUGGUACUUGCAUAAAAGCAGACACAUAACCGAAUGGAACAGGAUAAAGAACCCAGAAACAAAUUCACACACCUACACUGAACUCAUUUUUAACAAAGUUGCCAGGAAGAUACUUGGGAGAAAGGACAGUCUCUUCAGUAAACGGUGCUGGUAAUACUAGAUAUCCAUAUGCAGAAGAAUAAAACUGGACCCCUAUCUCUCAAAGUAUACAAAAAUCAAAUACAAAUGGAUUGAAGACUUAAAUCUAAGACAUUAAACUAUAAAAUUACUAUAAUACAAGGAAACAUUGAGAAAGCUCUCUGGGAUAUUGGUCUUGAGCAAUAGCCUACAAGUACAGGAAACCAAAGCAAUAAUGGACAAAUGGGAUCACAUCAAGUUAAAAGCUUCUCCAUGGCAAAGAAACAACCAAUAAAGUGAAAAGACAACCCUCAGAAUAGGAGAAAAUAUUUGGAAACCACCCAUCUGUAUUAGGUCAUUCUCAAAUUGCUAUAAAGAAAUAUCUGAGACUGGGUAAUUUAUAAGAGAGGAGGAAUUAUAGACUUGUUGUUCUGCUGGCUGUACAGAAAGGAUAGAGGAAUCUGUUUCCGGGGAGGCCUCAGGAAGUUUCCAAUUAUGGCAGAAGGCAAAGGCAGAGCAGCCAUAUCACAUAGUGAAAGCAAAAACAAAUGAGGGGGGCACACAAUUUUAAACAACCAGGUCUCACAAUAACUCACUCACUGCCUCAAGGACAGCAUCAAUUCUCUCAAAUGCUAAACCAUUAAUAAGGAUGCCCCUAUGACCGAAUCACCUCGCACUAGGGCCCACCUCCAGCUCUUGGUAUUAUGUUUCAACAUGAGAUUUGGGUGGGCACAAAUAUCCAAACUAUAUCACCAUCUGAUAAGGAAUUAAUAACCGGAAUAUAUAAGAAACUCAACAAUUUUAUAGAAAAAGAAAUCUAAUGAUCUAGUUACAGCACAGGCAAAAGACCUGAAUAGACAUUUCCAGAAAGAAGACAUAAAAAUGUCAAGCAGGCAUAUGAAAAGGUGCUUAACAUCAUUUAUCAUCAGAGAAAUGCAAAUCAACAAUACAAUGAAAUAUCAUCUCAACCCAGUUAAAAUGGCUUUUAUGGAAAAUCAGGCAAUAGCAAAUGGUGUCUAGGAUGUGGAGAAAAGGAAACUCCUGUAUACUGUUGGUGCAAUUGUAAGUUAGAACAACCACUAUGAAGAACAGUUUGGAUGUUCCUCAAAAAACUAGAAAUUGGGCCACCAUAUGAUCCAUCAAUCCCACUUCUGGGUAUAUACACCCCCGAAAAAGGAAAUGAGUAUAUAAAACAGAUAACUGAACUCCCAUGUUUGUUGCAGCACUCUUCACAACACCUAAGAUUUGGAAGCAAACUGAGGGGCCAUGAACACAUGAAUAAAGAAAAUGUGGUACAUAUACAAAAUGAAGUACUAUUCAUCCAUAAAAAAUGAAAUUCUGUUAUUUGCAACAACAUGGAUGGAAGUAGAGGUCAUCAUGUUUAGUCAAAUAAGCCAGGCACAGAAAGACAAGCACUGCAUGUUUUCAUUUAUUUGUAGGAUCUAAAAAUUAAAACAAUUGAACUCAUGGAGAUAGAGAAUAGAAGAAUGGUCACUAGAAGCUAGGAAGGGUAGUGAUUGGGGGAAGGUGGAGAUAUUUAAGGGGCCUAAAAAAUAGUUAGAGAAAAUGAAUAAGGUCUAUUGUUUGAUAGCAUAACAAGGUGAUUAUCAUCAAUAAUAAUUAAUUGUACAUUAUAAAAUAAGCAAAAUAAUAUAAUUAGAUUGUUUGUAACACAAAGGAUAAAUGUUUGAGGGAAUGGAUAUCUAAUUUUUCCAUAAGGUGAUUAUUAUGCAUUGCAUGCUUGUACCAACAUAUCUCAUGUAUCCCAUAAAUAUAUACAUCUACUAUGUACUGUCAAAAAUUUUUAAAAAGGACAAAGGACAAAAUCUACAACAUACUGCAUGAUUAUAUUUUCAGCUAUUCGAAGUGCACAUCAUUUUAACAAAGGUGCCAAGAAGAUACUUUGGAGAAAGGACAGUCUCUUCAAUAACAGGUGCUGAUAAUACUAGAUGUCCAUAUGCAGAAGAAUAAUGGAAGUUCUAAUGAAAGGACAAAACAACAUAGCUACUUUUCAAAGCAAUUCACCUACUUAUUAUAAAUUUUAACAUUCAUCUGCCAUAUAACUCAGUAAUGAUACAGCUAGAUAUCUACCUAAGAGAAAAAUAUAAUAUUCACACUACAACAUUUCAUUAAAAAUUAUGGCAGCUUUAUUGAUAGUCACAAAAACAUGAAAAUGACCAGUGCAUAGAUAAACAGGGGUACAUCCAUACAAUGGAAUAAUAAUUAGCAAUACAAGAAAUAAACUAUUGAUUUGUGCAACAACAUUAAUUCAUCUAAAAUGCAUUGUGCUAAGUAAAAAGAAAAGCCAGACUUAGAAAAGCUGCAUAUUAUAUGAUUUUCUUCAUAUGACACCUUAGAAAAAAAAUUAUGGAAAUUGAAAACAGAUUAGUGCUUGCCAAGGGCUGUGGGAUAGGGGUAGAGGUUGACUAGAAGAAAGCAGCACGAAGGAAUUUUGGAUGUGAUGGAAAUGUUUUAUAUGGAACAUUGGUGGUGGAUACAUGAUUCUAAGCAUUUGUUGAAAGUUAUAGGAUUGUAUACCAGAAAGACUACAAUUUUCUAUGCAUAAAGUUUUAAAAAGUCAAAUUGAAAAUAUAUGGAGGAGGCUGGGCAUGGUGGCUCACAUCUGUAAUCCCAGGAUUUUGGGAGGCUGAGUCAGGAUGAUUUCUUGAGCUCAGGAUUUCAAGACCAGCCUGGGCAGCACAGCAAGACCCUGUUUCUACAAAAGUAGAUUUAUUUAAGAAAAUAAAAUAUAUGCAAGGAUAGCAUUUGGACCACUACAAAAUGUACAGAAAAGUGACUAUGAUCAAUAAUAAUAUAUAGUAUUCUUGAAAAAUGUAAACAGAGUGGAUGUUACUCUGACCACAAAAUGAUAACCAAGUGAGGUAAUAUAUUUUUUAAUUAGCCAAAAUUAACCAUUUCACAAUGUAUAUGUACUUUAAAACACCAUGUUGUUCAUGAUAACAUUUCUUGAAAUUUAUUCUCCUGAUCUAACUGUAGAUAUCAUUAGUUUUUUGUUUGUUUGCUCCUUCUUUGUGUGUGUGUGUGUGUGUUUGUGUGUGUGUGUGUGUGUGUGUCAGUCUUUUUCCCUGUCACCCAGCCUGGAGUGUGGUGCUACAAUCCCAGCUCACUGCAGCCUCAACUUCCUGGGCUCAAGCAUCCCUCCCACGUCAGCCUCCUAAGUAGCUGGGACUACAGGUGUGAGCCACCACAUCUGGCCAAACGUAUCUAACUGUAAUUAUGUAUCCUUUUACCAACAUCUCCCCAUUCCUUUUCCCAACUAACAACCUGAGCCUCUACAAACCAUCAUUCUACUCUCUACUUCCAUGUGAUCAGCUUUUCUAGAGCCUACAUGUGAGAGCAUGUGGUAUUUGUAUUUCUGUUCCUUGCUUAUUUCACUUAACAUAACGUCCUUCAGGUUAAUCCAUGUGAUCACAAAUGACAUUCUUAGGCCAUAAUAUUUCACUGUGUAUAUAUACAUUUCUUUAUCCAUUCAUCCACUGAUAGACAGUUUGUUUCCAUAUCUUGACUAUUAUUCGAUAAACAUGGGAGUGCAGAUGCCUCUUUGACAGACCAAUUUCAAUUUUUUGGAUAUAUACCCAGUAGUGGGAUUACUGGGUUAUAUGAAAGUUCUACUUUUGGCGGGGUGUGGUGGCUCACACCCGUAAUCUCAGCACUCCAGGAAGCCAAGGAGGGUGGAUCACCUGAAGUCAGGAGUUCAAGACCAGCCUGGCCAACAUGGUGAAACCCUGUCUCUACUAAAAAUACAAAAAGUAGCUGAGCGUGGUGGUGGACACCUGUAAUCCCAGCUACUCCAGAGGCUGAGGCAUGAGAAUCACUUGAACUCAAGAGGUGGAGGUUGCAGUGAGCCAAGAUGUCGCCACUGCACUCCAGCCUGGGCAAUAGGAGUGAAACUCUGUCUCAAAAAAAAAAAAAAAAAGAAAAAAGUUCUACUUUUAAUUUUUUGAAAAACCCCUAUACUGUUUUUCACAAUGGCUGUGCUAAUUUACAUUCUAACUGGGGUGAGAUAUAAAAGCCAUAUACAACAAACCUAUAGCCAACAUCAUAAUGAAUGGGAAAAAGUUGAAAAUUUUUUAAGAUUCGAAACAAUAUAAGGAUGCCCACUUUCACUACUUCUAUUCAACAGAGAACUGGUGUCCUAGUCAGAGAAAUUAGGCAAGAGAUAAAAAUAAAAGGCAUUAAAAUUAGAGAAGAGGAAGUUAAAUUGUUCCUGUUUGCUGAUGGCAUAACCCUAUAUAUUGAAAACUCUAAGCACUCCACUAAAAAGCUGUUAGAAUUAAUAAAUGAAUUCCAUAAAAUUAUGUUACAAUGUUAACACACAAAAAUUAGUUGCAUUUGUGUACAAUAGCUAACUAUCUGAAAGGAGAAUAAAACAAUCCCAUUUACAGUAGCUACAAAAAAUACCUAUGAGAAAACGUGACCAAGGAGGUAUAAGAAAAAUGUAGAAGAUACAAAUAAAUAAAAAGAUAUUCUAUGCUCAUGGAUUAAAACAAUUAAUAUUAUUAAAAUGUCCAUACUACACAAAGCAAUUUACAGUUUCAAUGGAAUCCCUAUAAAAAUACCAAUGACAUUCUUCAUGGAAAUAGAAAAAAAAAAAUCCUAAAAUUUAUCUGGAACCAAAAAAGACCCCAAAUAGUCAAAGCAAUCUUGAGCACAAAAUCAAAGCUAAAGUCAUGACACUACCUGAUUUCAAAGUAUACUACAAACGUAUAGUAACAAAAAGAGCAUGGUACUGACAUAAAGAUAGAUACAUACACUAAUGGAAUAAAAGAGAACCCAGAUAUAAAUCCAGGCAUUUACAGCCAACUAAUUAUUAAUAAAGUUACCAAGAACAUGCAAUGGGGAAAGGACAAUCUUUUUCAUAAAUUAUGUUGGUGAGAGGUGAAGCCGGCUGGGCUUCUGGGUCAGGUAAGGACUUGGAGAACUUUUUUGUCUAGCUAAAGGAUUGUAAAAACACCAAUCAGUGCUCUGUGUCUAGCUAAAGGUUUGUAAACACACCACUCAGCACUCUGUAAAAACGCACCAAUCAGCACUCUGUGUCUAGCUAAAGGUUUGUAAACGCACCACUCAGCGCUCUGUAAAAAUGCACCAAUCAGCGGUCUGUGUCUAGCUAAAGGUUUGUAAAUGCACCAAUCAGCACUCUGUAAAAAAUGGACCAAUCAGCAGUCUGUAAAAUGGACCAAUCAGCAGGAUGUGGGUGGGUCCAAAUAAGCAAAUAAAAGCUGGCUACCCAAGCCAGCAGCAGCCACCUGCUCAAGUCCCCUUCCACGUUGUAGAUGUUUUGUUCUUUCGCUCUUCAUAAUAAAUCUUGCUGCUGCUCACUCUUUGGGUCUGCACUACCUUUAUGAGCUGUAACACUCACUGUGAAGGUCUGUGGCCUCACUCCUGAAGUCAGCGAGACCACGAACCCACCGGGAGGAAAAAACAACUCCGGACAUGCCACCUUUAAGAGCUGUAACACCGCGAAGGUCUGCAGUUUCACUCCUGAAGUCAAGCGAGACCACAAACCCACCAGAAGGAAGAAACUCCAGACACAUCUGAACGUCUAAAUGAACAAACUCUGGACACACCAUCUUUAAGAACUGUAACACUCACAGCGAGGGUCCGCGGCUUCCUUCUUGAAGUCAGUGAGACCAAGAACCCCCAAGAAGGAACCAAUUCCGGACACAUUGGGAAAACUAGACAUCCACAUGCAGAAACAUUAUUAUUAGUUUUGGGUCUUACAUUUAAGUAUUUAACCCAUUUGGAGUUAAUUUUAGUGUAUGAUGAAGAUAAGGGUCUAAUUUCUUUUUUCUGCCUUAUUUGUUGAGACAUAGUUUAUGUUGAGUAAAAGUAUGUCUCAACAAAUAUAUAGCAUAUAAUUCUAUGAAUUUGAAAAAUGCAUAUAAUUGUGUAACCACAAACAAAGUUAGGAUAUAGAAUAAUUUUAUGAUAUAGAAUAAUUUUACUGAGGUGAACAAGUCCAUGUUGUCCCUUUGCAGUGAAGAAAAUCAGAAUAUUUUAUUCUAAAAUCAUAUUUUUUGACAUAUUCUGAUAUGGCUCUUUAGAAAGCCAGCAAACCCAAGUAGCCCUGCAAAGCUGUCUUGUGGGGGAAAAUUUGCAUCUGCAUUGAUGUAGCCAGGCUUUCUCUGAGGCAUUUCCUCAUCCAGGUCUAGGAAAGAUUAACUGAGAACCUGACACCUUUAAAGUUCUGAAAGAAACAUUUACCAUUAUUCUCUCUGUGGGCUGCUACCUGUGAGGUUUCAUUUCCAGAACAAGACCACCUUUAAUAAACAAGCUUUCUCCUUUCUCCCUCCCAUAUCCUGUCUUGCCACUAUAGCCAAAUUUUCCACCAUAACCUGGUUUUGGCCAUGAUCAUGUUACUGGAAAGUGUGUAGUCCUCAGUUCCUGGCUUCUUGGAAGAAAGAAUUCAGCCAAAAGACAAUUUAGCAAAGUCAGCAGAGUUUAUUGAAGGAAAAUUAAGUAGCCUCCAAGAGAGUAGAUGGCUGGAUGGGCUGGAAACAGCCCUGAGAGUUCUGUGUUGCAGUUUUUGUUAUGUUGGACUUUUCUUUAAGCUCCUUCCUCUAUCUUAAGUCUCCACCUUUGUCUUCAUCUAGCUUCCCACUUCUGUCUUCAGUCUCUGCUUUGUCCCCACCUAGUCCCUGCCCAGGUUUGUGAGAUUCUCCCUUACUGUCAGUUAAUGCACAUUCAAAGGGCCCUGAGAUCAAUACAAAUCCUACCCAAUGGCAGCACUCUCAUUACUGCCUCCUCAGGAAGAUCAUACAAUGGUCAAAUCUGCACUUAUUGUACUUACAUAUUUCUUAGGAAUGUCCCUUUUCUCCCACUUAUCAGCAUGGAGAUAGCUACAUUAUGACAAUUAAGCCACAGAAUAAGUGAUUACAGAGUGUCUUAAGAGAUGUUUCUGGGCAUUCCUUUCCACAUAGGUAUUGUCCCUCCCCUCUGCUUAUAUUUAGCACGCAUGUUUCAGGUGGUCUCUAGGGCAUGAGAUUUUCCAGAGCUUUCUCUCCCAGGGGCUCCCUUUCCUGCUCAUGUCUAACUAUCUGCCUACUACUCUCUGAGCCCUCAUUCUAUCUGUAACCUUACUUCCGCAUUCCACUGGGGUGUUGGGGUAACACUCUGUAAUUCUCCCCCAUGUAUACAUUAAUACAUUUAUAUUGCUUUUCUCCAAUUAAUCUGCCUUCACACAGCUGAUUUUUUAAUGAAAUAUCAGAGAGUGAAGGGGAAGUUUUCCUAUAGCUCCUACAGUAGUCAACUCAUCCUGCUACCCUCCACUUCCCCCACCUGCCUCUGAAAACCACAGAUCUGCUCUCCAUUUCUAUAUUUUGCCUUUUAAAAAAUAUUAUAAUAAUAUCAUAUAGCAUGUUGCCUUUUAAGUCCUAAUUUUUUACUCUUAUUAAGGAGUUUGAGAGGUAUCAUGUUAUAUGUAUAAUUAUUUUUUUUCUUUUUAUUACUGAGUAUCAUUCCAUCAUGUAAAGUUACCCCUGUUUGUUUAUACAUUCCCCAGUUGAAACAAUUUCAGUUGUUUCCACUUUGGGGUGGUUACGAAUAAAGCUGCUCUAAGUAUUCAUAUACAGGUUUUUGUAUGGACAUAAGUAUUCACUUAUAUGAAUUGUCCAAAUAACUGGGUAUUUGCCCAAGUGAACCACUUGUGAAAUUAUAUUCACAUAGGUGAAUCUAACUUUUCCACCAGGAAAGUUAGAAUGUUUCAGUUGCUCCAUGUCCUUACAAGUUUAUAUUCAAUUUUUUUCUUGUUGUUUUGUUAUGCUUUGCUUUAGUCAUUUCAAUGAGUUUAUAACACUAUUGCAAUGUUAUUUAAUUCAGUGUCAUUUAAUUGAGAGUUUCUCAAUGAAUUAGUAAUGGAAAGAAAGUAUCUCAAAACAAUAAAGGCUACACAUGACAAAUUCACAGCUAACAUUGUAUUAAAUGGAGAAAAGCUAAAAGCUUUUUGUUUAAGAACUGGAACAAGACAAAGAUACCUACUAUCGCCACUCUUAUUCAACAUAGCACUGGAAGUCCUGGCAAUUUAGACAAGAGAAAGAAAUAAAGAGCAUCCAAAUCAGAAAGUAAGAAGACAAAUAUUCCCUGUUUGCAGAUAGUUUGAUCUUAUAUAUUAAAAAACCCAACAACUUUACCAAAACAAGUCUUAGAACUUAUAAACAAAUUUAGCAAACUUGUAGGAUACAAAAUAAGCAUACAAAAAUUAGCAGCAUUUCUAUACAUAAAUAAUCAUCCAGCUGAAAACAAAUCAAUAAAGCAAUUCCAUUUAUAAUAGCUGCAAAAAAACCCUAAGAAUAAAUUUAACCAAGGAGGUGAAAGGUCUUUACAAGGAAAAUUAUAAAACACUGAUGAAAGAAAUUGAAGGGGAUAAAAACAAAUAAAAAUACAUCCCAAGCUCAUGGAACAGAAGUAUCAAUAUGAUUAAAAUAACCAUACUACCCCUACCCAAAACAAUCUAUGGAUUCAAUGCAAUACCUACCAAAAUACCAAUGAUGUUCUUCCCAGAAAUAGUUAAAAAAAAAAAAAAUCCUAAAAUUGCUGCUGGACCACAAAAGACCCUGAAAAACCAAAGCAACGUGAACAAAAGCAACAAAGCAGGAGUAUCACACUAUCAGACUUCAAAAUAUGCUACAAAGCUAUAGUAACCAAAACAGUAUGGUACUGGCAUAAAAACCAGACUCAUAGACCAUUAGAACAUAAUAGAGAGCCCAUAAAUUAAUCCACAUAUCUAUAAGCAACUGAUUUUUGAUAAAGCCACCAAGAACAUUCAAUAGGGAAAGGAUAGACUCUUCAAUAAAUAAUGAUAGUACUCAUUUAAGGUAACUUUUGGAGAUAGUAGGAGGCAUGGGUUGACCCUUUUUUUUGAAAACAUAUGAUAUAAAAUUGUUCCAGCACUUUUUGUUGUAUAUACUAAACUUUUUAUUCAUUAAUUGCCUGUGAAUCUUUAGCAAUACAUCUAUGCAUGGGUUUAUUCCUUGACUUUAUAUUCUGUUUUAUUGAUAUAUGUGUCAAUUCUUUUGUCAAUACCACAUUGUCUUAAUAAAAGUAGCUUUAUAUUGUCUUAAAUCAAGUAGUAGGAGCCCUCAAACUUUCUUUUCAUUUUAAAAAAAAUAUUUUGGCCAUUCUGCUUCUUCUACCCUUCCAUAUGACUUUUGAAUCCAAUUUGAUUUUAACUUUAAAAAAUAUGCUACUGGGAAUUUGUUUGUGAUUUCAUAGAAUCUACUAAUCACUUUAGGAAGAAUUGAUAUCUUAGUAAUACUCAGUUUUUCUUUCUAUGAACAUGAUACAGCUCUUAAUUUAUGUAUUUUGUUUUUGUUUUUGUUUUAUAGAUUUCACCAUAAAAUAUGUGUACAUCUUUUGUUAAACUUGUACUUAAGUAUUUUGUUUUUAUUUUUUGGUGUUAGUUUAAGAGUACUUUCUAAAAUUUUUAAUUUCUGGUUUUAUUAUAGUACAAAAAUACAAUAGAUUUGUAUAUACUGACCACGUAUCAUGAAACCUGGCUAAAGAUACGUAUUAGUUCUGAUAACUCUUAUAAGGCAGUUUUAUUUUUGCCAUUUCUGUCUGGAUGGCUUGUUUGUAUGUAUGUACAUAUGUAUGUAUAUAUGUAUGUAUGUAUGUAUUUAGACUUAUUGAACUAGAUAGGACUUCCGGUGUAACGUUGGAGUGGUGCAAAUGGUCAUCCUUGUAUUGCUUAUAACCAUAGUGAAUAAGCAUUCCAUCUUUGGCCAUUUAGUGUGAUGUCAGUUGCAUGUUUUUGUAGAUAUUCUUUAUAAUCUUAACAUGUUUCCUUCUAUCUUGUUUGCUCAGAUUUUACCACCAAUGAAUAUUGAACUCUUAUCAAAUAAAUGAUUUCUCUAAAACAAUUGUGUUGAUGACAUGGUUUUAUAUGUUUGAUUUGUUUAUAUGUGAUUUGUAUUCAUUGAUUUUUAAACAACUUUAUUGAGGUAUAUUUUUCAAAUCACAAAAUUUACUUAUUUUAAGUGUACAAUUCGAUGAUUUUAAGUAACUUUACUACAUGGUACAAAAUCAGCUUUCGAACAUUUUCAUCUCUCAAUAAGACUCAGUGUGCCCUUUAAAAUGAAUCCUUAUUCCAUUUCUCAGCCCCAGACAAGCACUAAAUUACUUUCUGUCUCUAUAAAUGUGACUUUUCUAGAUAUUUUAUAUAAAUGGAGUCACACAGUAUGUGGUCCUCUGUGUAUGGAUUCUUUCACUUACCAUGAUGUUUCCAAGAAUCAUCCAUGUUUUAGUUAUAAAUGAAUACCAUUCUUUUUCAUGGCUGAAUAAUAUUCAAUUGUACAGAUAAACUCUAUUGUGUCCAUCCAUUCCUCAGAUGGUAGACAUGUGUAUUCUUUUCACUUUUUGGAAAUUAUGAAUACUGCUGUUAUGAACAUUGCUAUACAAGUUUUUGUGUGAAUAUAUGUUUUUCUUUUUUUGGGGGGUGUACACAUCGGAGUAAAAUUACUGAGUCAAAUGUUGAUUCUAUUUAAAUUUUUGAGGAACUGCCAAAUUAUUUUCUACCACGUAUGUACAACUCUACAUUCCCAUCAUAAAUAUAUAAUGUUGAAUUUUUGCCAAUGUUUGUUGUUAUCCCUUUCUUUGAUUAUAACCAUUCUAUUGUGUGUAAAGUAGUAUCUCAUUAUGGGUUGUCGAAUUUGCAUUUCCCAAACGAUUAAUGACAUUGUCUUUUCAUGUCUUUUUGGCCUUUUGUAUAUCUUCUUUAAGGAAAUACAUAUUCAAAUCUUUUGUUCCUUUUAUAAUUAAAAUAUUGUUUUAUUGUUGAGUUAUAAGCAUUUGUAUAUAUUCUUGAACUAGACUUUUAUUAAGUAUAUGUUUUGACAGUGUGUUCCCUCAGUCUGUCAAUCAUCUUUUGAGUUUCUUUAUAGUGUUCUUUGAAGUAUGAAAAUACUUAAUUUGAUGAAGUAAAAUUUAUUGAUUUUUACUUUGGCUGCUUGUGCUUUAAGUGUCUUAUCUAAGAAACCUAAAAAACUGUUGCCUAAUCCAAGGUCACAAAAAUUUACAUCCAUGGUUUUUUCUCACAGCUGUAUAGUUUUAGGACUUACAUUUAGUUUUUUGAUACAUUUUUUGCUUAAAUUUUGUAAAUAAUAGGAAGUCCCAGAACCAUUUGUUGAAAAAGAUCACCCCCUUCUCCUAUUAAAUUCCUGUAAAUUAAUCGACUAUAAAUAUGAGGGUUUAUUUCUGAAAGCACGAAUCCAGUAUAGCUUUCUCCCUUACCCUUAUAUUUACUAUUAUUGUCAUAAAAGUUAUAUUUCUAUACAUUCUGAGCCCAUCAACAAAGUUUUAUACUUAUGACUUUUAUGUAUUUGUCUUAAUUCAGAUAGAUUUAUGAACAAAAAUAUAUUUAUACUGCC
Molecule: long non-coding RNA, 18374 nt
Filed under: Homo sapiens (human)
Lineage: Eukaryota; Metazoa; Chordata; Mammalia; Primates; Hominidae
Description: HSALNT0284452
Source: RNAcentral